Molecule: ribosomal RNA, 711 nt
Filed under: uncultured Actinomycetes bacterium
Lineage: Bacteria; Bacillati; Actinomycetota; Actinomycetes
Description: bacterial SSU rRNA
Rfam family: Bacterial small subunit ribosomal RNA
Source: RNAcentral
UGCAGUCGAACGAUGAAGCUGGAGCUUGCUCCGGCCGAUUAGUGGCGAACGGGUGAGUAACACGUGAGCAAUCUGCCCUUGACUCUGGGAUAACUGCGGGAAACUGUAGCUAAUACCGGAUACUUUCCUCGCUGGGCAUCCAGCGGGGAAGAAAGAAUUUCGGUCAAGGAUGAGCUCGCGGCCUAUCAGCUAGUUGGUGAGGUAAAGGCUCACCAAGGCGACGACGGGUAGCCGGCCUGAGAGGGUGACCGGCCACACUGGAACUGAGACACGGUCCAGACUCCUACGGGAGGCAGCAGUGGGGAAUAUUGCACAAUGGGCGAAAGCCUGAUGCAGCAACGCCGCGUGAGGGAUGAAGGCCUUCGGGUUGUAAACCUCUUUUAGCAGGGAAGAAGCGAAAGUGACGGUACCUGCAGAAAAAGCACCGGCUAACUACGUGCCAGCAGCCGCGGUAAUACGUAGGGUGCAAGCGUUGUCCGGAAUUAUUGGGCGUAAAGAGCUCGUAGGCGGUUUGUCACGUCUGCUGUGAAAAUCCGAGGCUCAACCUCGGACUUGCAGUGGGUACGGGCAGGCUAGAGUGCGGUAGGGGAGAAGGGAAUUCCUGGUGUAGCGGUGGAAUGCGCAGAUAUCAGGAGGAACACCAAUGGCGAAGGCACUUCUCUGGGCCGUAACUGACGCUGAGGAGCGAAAGCGUGGGGAGCGAACAGGAUU